CGGCGAGUGAAGCGGCAACAGCUCAAAUUUGAAAUCUGGGUCUUUCAGGCUCCGAGUUGUAAUUUGUAGAAGAUGCUUCGGGUGUGGCUCCGGUCUAAGUUCCUUGGAACAGGACGUCAUAGAGGGUGAGAAUCCCGUACGUGACUGGUUGCCUUCGCCCAUGUGAAGCUCUUUCGACGAGUCGAGUUGUUUGGGAAUGCAGCUCAAAAUGGGUGGUAAAUUUCAUCUAAAGCUAAAUAUUGGCCAGAGACCGAUAGCGCACAAGUAGAGUGAUCGAAAGAUGAAAAGCACUUUGGAAAGAGAGUUAAACAGUACGUGAAAUUGUUGAAAGGGAAGCGCUUGCAACCAGACUUGCACGCUGCUGAUCAUCCGGGGUUCUCCCCGGUGCACUCGGUGGUGUUCAGGCCAGCAUCGGUUUGGGUGGUUGGAUAAAGGCCUUGGGAAUGUAGCUUCUUUCGGGGAGUGUUAUAGCCCUCGGUGCAAUGCAGCCUACCCGGACCGAGGACCGCGCUUCGGCUAGGAUGCUGGCGUAAUGGUUGUAAGCGACCCGUCUUGAAACACGGACCAAGGAGUCUAACAUCUAUGCGAGUGUUUGGGUGUCAAACCCAUACGCGUAAUGAAAGUGAACGGAGGUGAGAACCCUUAAGGGUGCAUCAUCGACCGAUCCUGAUGUCUUCGGAUGGAUUUGAGUAAGAGCAUAGCUGUUGGGACCCGAAAGAUGGUGAUCUAUACUUGAAUAGGGUGAAGCCAGAGGAAACUCUGGUGGAGGCUCGCAGCGGUUCUGACGUGCAAAUCGAUCGUCAAAUUUGAGUAUAGGGGCGAAAGACUAAUCGAACCAUUCGGAUGGCAUACGUAAAGGUUGCUAGGUG
This 869-nucleotide ribosomal RNA is filed under the name Helotiales sp. RNAcentral's name for it is "partial large subunit ribosomal RNA". It matches the Rfam family "Eukaryotic large subunit ribosomal RNA", at positions 87 to 984 of the family's 3401-position model. The record is from RNAcentral. Lineage: Eukaryota; Fungi; Ascomycota; Leotiomycetes; Helotiales.